GGGGAAUUUUCCGCAAUGGGCGAAAGCCUGACGGAGCAAUACCGCGUGAGGGAGGAAGGCUCUUGGGUCGUAAACCUCUUUUCUCAGGGAAGAACACAAUGACGGUACCUGAGGAAUAAGCAUCGGCUAACUCCGUGCCAGCAGCCGCGGUAAUACGGAGGAUGCAAGCGUUAUCCGGAAUGAUUGGGCGUAAAGCGUCCGCAGGUGGCGAUGUAAGUCUGCUGUUAAAGAAUCUAGCUCAACUAGAUAAGAGCAGUGGAAACUACAUAGCUAGAGUACGUUCGGGGCAGAGGGAAUUCCUGGUGUAGCGGUGAAAUGCGUAGAGAUCAGGAAGAACACCAGUGGCGAAGGCGCUCUGCUAGGCCGUAACUGACACUGAGGGACGAAAGCUAGGGGAGCGAAUGGGAUUAGAUACCCCAGUAGUCCUAGCCGUAAACGAUGGAUACUAGGCGUGGCUUGUAUCGACCCGAGCCGUGCCGUAGCUAACGCGUUAAGUAUCC
RNAcentral lists this ribosomal RNA (500 nucleotides) under uncultured cyanobacterium. Its description in RNAcentral is "bacterial SSU rRNA". It matches the Rfam family "Bacterial small subunit ribosomal RNA", at positions 356 to 869 of the family's 1533-position model. Lineage: Bacteria; Bacillati; Cyanobacteriota. The record is from RNAcentral.